UGGGGAAUUUUGGACAAUGGGCGAAAGCCUGAUCCAGCAAUGCCGCGUGUGUGAAGAAGGCCUUCGGGUUGUAAAGCACUUUUGUCCGGAAAGAAAUCCUUGGCUCUAAUACAGUCGGGGGAUGACGGUACCGGAAGAAUAAGCACCGGCUAACUACGUGCCAGCAGCCGCGGUAAUACGUAGGGUGCAAGCGUUAAUCGGAAUUACUGGGCGUAAAGCGUGCGCAGGCGGUUUGCUAAGACCGAUGUGAAAUCCCCGGGCUCAACCUGGGAACUGCAUUGGUGACUGGCAGGCUAGAGUAUGGCAGAGGGGGGUAGAAUUCCACGUGUAGCAGUGAAAUGCGUAGAGAUGUGGAGGAAUACCGAUGGCGAAGGCAGCCCCCUGGGCCAAUACUGACGCUCAUGCACGAAAGCGUGGGGAGCAAACAGGAUUAGAUACCCUGGUAGUCCACGCCCUAAACGAUGUCAACUAGUUGUUGGGGAUUCAUUUCCUUAGUAACGUAGCUAACGCGUGAAGUUGACCGCCUGGGGAGUACGGUC
RNAcentral lists this ribosomal RNA (539 nucleotides) under uncultured bacterium. RNAcentral's name for it is "partial 16S ribosomal RNA". It matches the Rfam family "Bacterial small subunit ribosomal RNA", at positions 355 to 887 of the family's 1533-position model. The record is from RNAcentral.